AGUUCGAUUAUGGUCAGGAUUAACGCUGGCGGGAUGUUUUACACAUGCAAGUCGAACGGCAGCACGGACUUCGGUCUGGGUGGCGAGUGUGGCGAACGGGUGAGAAGGUAUCGGAACGUGCCUAGUAGCGGGGGAUAACUACGCGAAAGCAGAAGCACACGUACACGACUUGUGGGAAAGCGGGGGACCUUGUAGCCUCGCACUAAUAGAGCGCAUUAUGGGAUAUCGGAUUAGCUAGUUGGUGGGGUAAACGGGCUCACCAAGGCGACGAUCCGUAGCUGGUUUGAGAGGACGACCAGCCACACUGGGACUGAGACACGGCCCAGACUCAGCUGGAGGCAGCAGUGGGGAAUUUUGGACAAUGGGAAACCCUGAUCCAGCCAUCCCGGGCGUGUGCGAUGAAGGCUCUCGGGUUGUAAAAGCACUUCUUGGCAGGAAAGAAACGGCACGAUAUACCUGUGCAACUGACGGUACCUGCAGAAUAAGCACCACACAGAUGUGCCAGCAGCCGCGGUAAUACGUAGGUGCAAGCGUUAAUCGGAAUUACUGGGCGUAAAGCGUGUGCAGGCGGUUCGAAAGAAAGACGUGAAACUUAGAGCUUAACUUUUGGAACUGCAUUUUUAACUACCGAGCUAGAGUGUGUCAGAGGAGGUGGAAUUCGCGUGUAGCAGGAAAUGCGUAGAUAUGCGAUAUUCAACGGAUGGCGAAGGCAGCCUCUCCUGGGAUAAUAUUGAUGCUCAUGCACGAAAGCGGGAGCAAACAGGAUUAGAUACCCUGGUAGUCCACGCCCUAAACGAUGUCAAUUUAUUGGGUUGGGGCCUUCGGGCCUUGGUAGCAGCUAAUCGCGUGAAGUUGACCGCCUGGGAGCACGGUCGCAAGAUUAAAACUCGAAGGAAUUGGACGGGGACCCGCACAAGCGUGGUGGAUGAUGUGAUUAAUUCUGAUGUAACGCGAAAACCCACUCUUACCCUUGAUAUUACGUUCAACUCGAAGAGAUUUGGGAGUGCUCGCAGAGGAACCGGAACACAGGUGCUUGCGGCCGGCUUUAUGUCAGCUCGUGUCGAGAGUGUUAAGAAGUCCUGCAACGAGCGCAACCCUUGUCAUUAGUUGCCAGCGAAAGGGCACCUAAUGAGACUGCUUGUGACAAACCGAGGAAGGUGGGAUGACGCUGUCCUCAUGGCCUCAUAGUGGGCAGGGCUUCACGUCAUACAAUGGUCGGGACAGAGGGUCGCCAACCCGCGAGGGGGAGCCAACUCAGAAACCCGAUCGUAGUCCGAUCGCAGUCUGCAACUCGACUGCGUGUCAACUCAGUAAUCGCGGAUCAGCGUCGGUGGUGAAUACGUUCCCGGGUCUGGGACACACCGCCCGUCACACCAUGGGGGAGUGGGUUUUACCAGAAGUAGUUGCGCCUUAACUGUAUGGGAGGGCGAUUACCACGGUAGGAUUCAUGACUGGGGUGAAGUCGUAACAAGGUAG
Molecule: ribosomal RNA, 1476 nt
Filed under: uncultured Bordetella sp.
Lineage: Bacteria; Pseudomonadati; Pseudomonadota; Betaproteobacteria; Burkholderiales; Alcaligenaceae
Description: partial 16S-23S ribosomal RNA intergenic spacer
Rfam family: Bacterial small subunit ribosomal RNA
Source: RNAcentral